AAGUCGUAACAAGGUUUCCGUAGGUGAACCUGCGGAAGGAUCAUUACCGAGAGAGGGUCCUGGCGGCCCGACCUCCAACCCCUGCGAACCCCACCCAAGUUGCCUCGGCGGGCCCGCGGCCCUCCGCCUCGUGCCCAGCGCUCGACAGCGCCCGCCGAAGGACACCUCAGAUCCCCGAACGGUGACGUCUGAGAACGCAAGCAAAUAAAGCAAAACUUUCAACUACGGAUCUCUUGGUUCUGGCAUCGAUGAAGAACGCAGCGAAAUGCGAUAAGUAAUGUGAAUUGCAGAAUUCAGUAAAUCAUCGAAUCUUUGAACGCACAUUGCGCCCCCUGGCAUUCCGGGGGGCAUGCCUGUCCGAGCGUCAUGUAGAAACUCAGGCCCGAGCCUGGUGUUGGGCCCGACGUCGCCGCCUGCCGGACCGACGAGCCCCAAACCCAUCGGCGGUGCCCUCCCCCUCACAGCGUUGCGAAACUCGCUGGGUGGCGCGGGGGCUCCUGCCAAAACGCCAAAGCGCAAGCAAGUUUGACCUCGGAUCAGGUAGGGAUACCCGCUGAACUUAAGCAUAUCAAUAAGCGGAGGAAAAGAAACCAACAGGGAUUGCCUCAGUAACGGCGAGUGAAGCGGCAACAGCUCAAAUUUGAAAUCUGGCCCCCUCGGGGCCCGAGUUGUAAUUUGCAGAGGAUGCUUCGGGCGCGGUGCCGGUCCAAGUUCCUUGGAACGGGACGCCGCAGAGGGUGAGAGCCCCGUACGCGGCCGGUGGCCAAGCCCACGUGAAGCUCCCUCGACGAGUCGAGUUGUUUGGGAAUGCAGCUCAAAACGGGUGGUAAAUUUCAUCCAAAGCUAAAUACCGGCCAGAGACCGAUAGCGCACAAGUAGAGUGAUCGAAAGAUGAAAAGCACUUUGGAAAGAGAGUUAAACAGCACGUGAAAUUGUUGAAAGGGAAGCGCUUGCCGCCAGACUUGCCCGCGGCCGAUCAGCCGGCGUUCUCGCCGGUGCACUCGGUCGCGGUCAGGCCAGCAUCGACUCGAGCGGCGGGACAAAGGCCCCGAGAACGUGACUCCCCCCGGGGAGUGUUACAGCUCGGGGCGCAAUGCCGCCAGCUCGGGUCGAGGACCGCGCUUCGGCUAGGAUGCCGGCGUAAUGGCCCCAAGCGACC
RNAcentral lists this ribosomal RNA (1159 nucleotides) under uncultured fungus. Its description in RNAcentral is "eukaryotic LSU rRNA". The stretch from base 527 to 1159 matches the Rfam family "Eukaryotic large subunit ribosomal RNA", at positions 1 to 649 of the family's 3401-position model. The record is from RNAcentral. Lineage: Eukaryota; Fungi.